GUUUCACAUGGAGACAUCAGCCGUCAAGAGUGAAAUUUUGACUCUGCAAAGCGACCUCCAAAUCAAUCGAGGGCAUCGGGAGAACACUUUUGGAACCUUAUCGUGGAGGAAAAAUAUCCAAACAUGAGAAAAGUUGGCAUGUACUUGACAGAAUGUUUUGGAUCUACCUACAUUUGCGAGUCAGCAUUUUCAGACAUGAUCAAAAUACCGGUCCACUCUAACAGAUGACGCUGGACACCUGUUUGAGGCAAGCAAUCAGUAGCUACAUCCCAGACCAUGCUGAGCUUGCUGACAGCAUGCAGUGCAAAUCAUCCAAUCAAUAAGGAGAAGGAGAAGUAGAGGAGGAGUACUUGGAGGAUUUCUCAAGGGGCUGAGUCUACAGCACUAGUAAUUAGUUAGUUAUCCGAGAUGAGAUUUUUGUAGUUGCAGCAGUUUAGAUGAAAAUGGCUGAAUAUGAAAUUGUAGCUAUACAAUCUUAAACAAAAUACUACAAAAAUACUGUUUGCAUGCUUCAAACAUACUGUACUUUUGUAUUUUGCAUUUCUUUCACUAAACUGGUAUAUACGUAUUCAUAAACAUACAUUUCAG
Molecule: long non-coding RNA, 588 nt
Filed under: Salmo salar (Atlantic salmon)
Lineage: Eukaryota; Metazoa; Chordata; Actinopteri; Salmoniformes; Salmonidae
Description: lncRNA (ENSSSAG00000084804.1)
Source: RNAcentral